GGAGUACGGCCGCAAGGCUAAAAAUCAAAGGAAUUGACGGGGGCCCGCACAAGCGGCGGAGCAUGAGGCUUAAUCAGAUGUGACGCGAAGAACCUUACGUGGGCUUGACAUGUAGAGAAAAGCCGUAGAGAUACGGUGUCAUUGGGGGCUUUACACAGGUGGUGCAUGGCAGUUGUCAGCUUCUGUAGUGAGAUGUUGGGUUAAGUCCCGCUAUGAGCGCAACCCUUGUCGUAUGUUGCCAGCGGUUCGCCCGGGGAAUGAUAGGAGACUGCCGGGGUCAACUCGGAUGAAGGUGGGGAUGAAGUCAAGUCAUCAUGCCCCUUAUGUUCAGGGCUGCACACAUUCUUCAAUGGCCGGUACAAAGGGCUGAUAUUCAGGGAGGAUGAGCGAAUCCCAGAAAUCAGGUGUCAGUUGGGAUCGAAGUUUGCAACUAGACUUCGAGAAGUAGGAGUUGUUAGUAAUCCAGAAUCAGCUACGUCGGGGAGAAUACGUUCCCGGGCAUAGUACACACCGCCCGUCACACCAUGAAAGUUGGUAACACCAGAAGCCAGUGGCCCAACCGCAAGGAGGGAGCUGUUGAAGGUGGGAUCAAGCGAUUGGGGUGAAGUCGUAACAAGGUAUC
RNAcentral lists this ribosomal RNA (622 nucleotides) under uncultured bacterium. RNAcentral's name for it is "bacterial SSU rRNA". It matches the Rfam family "Bacterial small subunit ribosomal RNA", at positions 877 to 1500 of the family's 1533-position model. The record is from RNAcentral.